RNAcentral lists this ribosomal RNA (488 nucleotides) under uncultured soil bacterium. Its description in RNAcentral is "bacterial SSU rRNA". It matches the Rfam family "Bacterial small subunit ribosomal RNA", at positions 26 to 511 of the family's 1533-position model. The record is from RNAcentral.
AGAUUGAACGCUGGCGGCAGGCCUAACACAUGCAAGUCGAGCGGCAGCACGGGUACUUGUACCUGGUGGCGAGCGGCGGACGGGUGAGUAAUGCCUAGGAAUCUGCCUGGUAGUGGGGGAUAACGCUCGGAAACGGACGCUAAUACCGCAUACGUCCUACGGGAGAAAGCAGGGGACCUUCGGGCCUUGCGCUAUCAGAUGAGCCUAGGUCGGAUUAGCUAGUUGGUGAGGUAAUGGCUCACCAAGGCGACGAUCCGUAACUGGUCUGAGAGGAUGAUCAGUCACACUGGAACUGAGACACGGUCCAGACUCCUACGGGAGGCAGCAGUGGGAAUAUUGGACAAUGGGCGAAAGCCUGAUCCAGCCAUGCCGCGUGUGUGAAGAAGGUCUUCGGAUUGUAAAGCACUUUAAGUGGAGAAGGCAGUUACCUAAUACGUAUCUGUUUUGACGUUACCGACAGAAUAAGCACCGGCUAACUCUAGUGCCAG